RNAcentral lists this ribosomal RNA (247 nucleotides) under uncultured bacterium. RNAcentral's name for it is "partial 16S ribosomal RNA". It matches the Rfam family "Bacterial small subunit ribosomal RNA", at positions 121 to 354 of the family's 1533-position model. The record is from RNAcentral.
AGAACCUGCCGUAUACUGGGGGAUAACACUUAGAAAUAGGUGCUAAUACCGCAUAAGCGCACAGCUUCGCAUGAAGCAGUGUGGAAAACAAAAAGCUAAAGCUUUUGGUGGUAUACGAUGGAUCCGCGUCUGAUUAGCUUGUUGGCGGGGUAAAGGCUCACCAAGGCGACGAUCAGUAGCCGGCCUGAGAGGGCGACCGGCCACAUUGGGACUGAGACACGGCCCAGACUCCUACGGAAGGCAGCAG